Long non-coding RNA from Beta vulgaris subsp. vulgaris (sugar beet), 1041 nucleotides. RefSeq lists it as uncharacterized. NCBI's taxonomy places the organism in Eukaryota, Viridiplantae, Streptophyta, Magnoliopsida, Caryophyllales, Amaranthaceae. The record is from RefSeq and is a predicted model, not a curated record. The transcript has 2 exons.
UGAUGAAAGGCCAAGAUUUUUAAAUUUGACAAUGUGUGUAGGAUUCUCACGAGUGUGCGCAUAGAUGGCAUUAAAUAAGUUUUGGGCCAUGAUUUGCGUCGGAUGGGCCACGAGAUACGACGCAAAUCAUAAGGUGCGCGUUCAGGGUUUAUUUCCAAAUCCUCACUUCCUCCCGCUGUUUUCUCACACUUUAAAACCCCACCUUCAUCUCUCUGACUCUCACACUUCAGAACUCCACCUCAUCUCUAUUUCGCAUCUCAUCUCUGUUUCGCAUCUUAUCUCUCUCUCACCUAUCUUCUCAUCUCUCUUUCAAAUUUCAACAACGAAGUGCGUUCGCGGUGUUCUAUGGCGAAUGUGGCGGUUUUCCAGCAAAGAGAGGAGAGAGACAGUGAGCAAAGCAGAAGGAAGAAAGUGCGACAAAUGGUGGUGAAGCGGGAAAAAUAGAUCUUUGGUUUAAGGAUGGGAUUCGACAGAGGAGCAGCGAGCGACGACAAUUCGACCUCAGACGAGUGCAACGACAUUCGAACCUUCGGUGGUUAUCAAAAGGGUUGGAGAUCUGAGUAGUGUUCAAACAGAUUGACUUUUUUUUAAUAUAAAAUGGAUGAUUUGCGUCACACAAAGACAAAUAUGCGACGCAGGGGUGCUGUUGGUGCUGGGGUUCAAGGGUCAUGUGCGUCGGACUAUGCAGUACAUUCGAAGUAAAUAGCACAAAAUUUGCGCCGCGUUCUGAUCCGACGCACAUCACAUCACUCGAAUUUGCGUCGAGUGUUGUGGCGUCGGACCGAUGUCUGACGCAAAUGGUGGUCACAUGUCCAACGCAAAUUAUUAAUUCUGUACUAGUGAAUAUAGCAUGCAAUGUUUACACCUUCCCUCCAAAAACUCUUAGGGAGACCACAUUCAAUAAGUAUCGUCCUCGUCAUCUCCUCUAGAGUUUUAUUAUUUCUUUUAACUACACCAUUUUUUUGUGGUGUUUUGGGGGCAUAAAAGUUGUAACUUACCCCAUGCUCUCUACACAAUUCAAUAAAAGCUUGAAUUAUUAAA